GAUGAACGCUGGCGGCGUGCCUAAUACAUGCAAGUCUAGCGAACGGACGAGAAGCUUGCUUCUCUGAUGUUAGCGGCGGACGGGUGAGUAACACGUGGAUAACCUACCUAUAAGACUGGGAUAACUUCGGGAAACCGGAGCUAAUACCGGAUAAUAUUUUGAACCGCAUGGUUCAAAAGUGAAAGACGGUCUUGCUGUCACUUAUAGAUGGAUCCGCGCUGCAUUAGCUAGUUGGUAAGGUAACGGCUUACCAAGGCAACGAUGCAUAGCCGACCUGAGAGGGUGAUCGGCCACACUGGAACUGAGACACGGUCCAGACUCCUACGGGAGGCAGCAGUAGGGAAUCUUCCGCAAUGGACGAAAGCCUGACGGAGCAACGCCGCGUGAGUGAUGAAGGUCUUCGGAUCGUAAAACUCUGUUAUUAGGGAAGAACAUAUGUGUAAGUAACUGUGCACAUCUUGACGGCACCUAAUCAGAAAGCCACGGCUAACUACGUG
This 497-nucleotide ribosomal RNA is filed under the name uncultured bacterium. RNAcentral describes it as "partial 16S ribosomal RNA". It matches the Rfam family "Bacterial small subunit ribosomal RNA", at positions 28 to 507 of the family's 1533-position model. The record is from RNAcentral.